This 1788-nucleotide long non-coding RNA is filed under the name Anas platyrhynchos platyrhynchos (common mallard). Its description in RNAcentral is "lncRNA (ENSAPLG00000025044.1)". The record is from RNAcentral. Lineage: Eukaryota; Metazoa; Chordata; Aves; Anseriformes; Anatidae.
AUGGGGGACUUCAAUUACCCAGACAUCUGCUGGGUAAGCAACUCGACCAGGCAUGAGCAGUCCAAAUGGUUCCUACAAUGUGUUGAGGACAAUUUUCUGACGCAGGUGGUGGAGGAGCCGAUGAGGUGGGGGGUGCUCCUGGACCUCAUUCUUACCAACAGGGAUGGCCUUGUUAGGGAUGUGAAAGUUGGGGGCAGCUUGGGAUGCAGCGACCAUGAGAUGGUGGAGUUCCAGACGGAACUAGUCAAAGGAAGUAAAGGUAAAAGCAGGAUUGCUACCCUGGACUUUCGGAGAGCCAACUUCAACCUCUUCCGGGACCUGCUUGGGAGUAUCUCCUGGGAUAGGUUGCUAGAAGGCAAGGGUGCUUGUGAGAGCUGGGCUACAUUUAAGCAGCACUUCUUCCAUGCUCAGGAUUGGUGCAUCCCGAGGAAUAGGAAAUCAGGGAAGGGGGGCAGGAAACCCGCAUGGAUGAGCAAGGAGCUCAUCAAUGAGAUCAAAAGGAAGAGGAUGUUCUAUGAAAUGUGGAAAAAGGGCCUGUCCUCUUGGAAGGAGUAUAGAUGUGUUGUCAGGGCCUGCAGGGAUGCAAUGAGGAAGGCUAAAGCCCACCUAGAGAUGAGGCUUGCAAAAGAGAUAAAGGAUAAUAAGAAGGGUUUUAUCAAGUAUGUAAGCAGCAAGAGGAAGAGUAGGGAUAAUGUGGGUCUCUUGCUGAAUGAGGGGGGUGUCCUGGUCACGGGAGACGCUGAGAAGGCAGAGAUACUGAAUGCUUUCUUUGCUUCAGUUUUUGCUUCAAGGACACUCCCCCGGGACUCCUCGCCCCUGACAAUAGGACAAAGGGUCUGGGAAAUGGAGGGCUCCCCCCUGGUGGACAUGGGAGUGGUUCGGGAGCAUCUGAGUGGGCUCAACGCACACAAAUCCAUGGGUCCCGAUGGGAUGCAUCCGCUUGUGAUAAGGGAGCUGGCAGAUGUGAUCGCCAAAGCGCUCUCUAUCGUCUUUGAAAGGUCCUGGAGAACAGGUGAGGUGCCUGAAGACUGGAGGAUAGACAAUGUCACUCUGGUCUUCAAGAAGGGCAGGAAGGAGGAUCCGGGAAACUACAGGCCAGUCAGUCUCACCUCUGUCCCUGGAAAGGUAUUGGAGCAGCUUGUUCUGGAUGCCAUCUCCAAGCAAUUGGAAGAGAAGAAGGUUAAGAGGAGUAGUCAGCAUGGAUUCACCAAGGGGAAGUCGUGCUCGACCAACCUCGUUGCCUUCUAUGAUGACAUCACCAGCUGGGUAGAUGGGGGGAGAGCGGUGGACGUAAUCUACCUUGACUUCAGCAAGGCUUUCGAUACUGUCUACCAUGACAUCCUACUGACAUCCAUGACAGCAAAGGAUUUCAUUGCUCCUCUAAGGAAGACAAAAUAUCCCACCAAAAGCUGCACAUUCCUAAAACUUCAUGUUCCAUAUGUGAGUUAUGCAAGAGACGUGGUGCAGUCUGGAAGCAUUUCUCUGAUAAAGCAGGAUCAGUCACUCCCUGGAGACUGGCAACAACCUGUCAUCAUUCCGGAUUGUCAGCCGUGCUAAAGGAAUAAUACAGCAUGCAGCCAAGUCAAACAGUCCAUCACACCAAGACACAUGACUUGCUAGUAAGAGGUAGAUAGACUAAAUAUAGAAUCAUAUUUUAAAUAAUAAGUAGUGCAAACCACUAAAAUAACUGAGCAUAGAAUAUUCUUUGCAUUUCUAAUUCUCUAGAUCAAGGUCUGUUAUUUUUUAUAGUUCAAAAAGUGAAUUUGACUUGUAGUAUGUAAAACUGUA